RNAcentral lists this ribosomal RNA (459 nucleotides) under uncultured bacterium. RNAcentral describes it as "partial 16S ribosomal RNA". It matches the Rfam family "Bacterial small subunit ribosomal RNA", at positions 338 to 795 of the family's 1533-position model. The record is from RNAcentral.
CCUACGGGAGGCAGCAGUGAGGAAUAUUGGUCAAUGGCCGGAAGGCUGAACCAGCCAAGCCGCGUGAAGGACGAAGGUGCCAAGCAUUGUAAACUUCUUUUGUCAAGGGACAAAAUCAGGCUCGAAAUCCUCACCGAGGGUACUUGAAGAAAAAGCAUCGGCUAAGUCCGUGCCAGCAGCCGCGGUAAUACGGGGGAUGGGAGCGUUAUCCGGAUGUAUGGUGUUAAAAGGGUGCGUCGGCGGACUGUUAAGUCAGCGGUAAGAGCCCGGGGCUCAACCCCGGCGAGCCGUUGAAACUGGCUGGCUUGAGAUGUCGAGAGGUAUGCGGAAUGCGCAGUGUAGCGGUGAAAUGCGUAGAUAUUGCGCAGAACUCCGAUUGCGAAGGCAGCAUACCGGCGGCGAUCUGACGCUGAGGCACGAAAGCGUGGGUAUCGAACAGGAUUAGAUACCCGAGUAGUC